This 1152-nucleotide long non-coding RNA is filed under the name Junco hyemalis (dark-eyed junco). Its description in RNAcentral is "lncRNA (ENSJHYG00000007931.1)". The record is from RNAcentral. Lineage: Eukaryota; Metazoa; Chordata; Aves; Passeriformes; Passerellidae.
AUGGAAUCAGCACUGUGUGUGCCUGGAGCCGGGGCUGGGACCCAUCCCUGCGUGUCAGCAGCUGAACCCACAGCAGUGAAACUGUCCCCACUCUGCAGUCACGGAAUGAGAUCCUGCACACUGCAAAACCGCUUGGACAGCCGGAGCAACACAGCGGACCCGAAACCCGCGAGUGAACAAGGGCGGCCGGGGAUUUCUCAGCACAAACAAACGGCGGUCACGGCUCUCACCCAGCUCCCGGGAAAACGCCGCUGCUCCCGGUGGGGUCAUGCUAGUGGGGCAGCGCAGGAACCGCGGCUGCCGUGCGAACCCCGCCGGGGCUGGAGGCGCACCCGGCCCCCGGUGGAAGGCCCUGCCUUGAACGGAGCAGCCCGACCCCGGUACCGGCUCCCAGUUCCUCAUUCCGUGCCCAGCGGCCAUUUAUGGACAGCCCUUACGCGCCGGAGGCACGGCCGACCCCGGGACGCGUCGGGCCGGGCGAUCCCCUGCACGGCCCCUCGGAGCGAGCCCCGGGCGCCGGGCACGGCCCACCGGGUACGGCCCGCCGGGCACCGCGUACCGGGCACGGCCCCCGGGCGCCUCCCCAGCCCCUCCGGGAAGCCCGGGCCGCCGCGCCCCGCCCUCGCUGCACGCGCUCCGCUCCGGGACGGCCCCACCGGGGGCGGCGGCUCCCCCGGCCUUCGGAAGGUCGCGCAAGGGCACGCGGGGCCCCGCUCCCGCCCCCCGGCCGCGCCCGGCCCUGCCCGCCGCUCCGCACCCCCUCCCGCCGCUGCCGCCGUACCGGGCUCGCUCGCUCCGCGCUGCGCUGCCAACGCCGCGGAUCCGCCCAGGCCCCGCGCGCCCCCGCACUUCCGGGACACGCCCGGCACUUCCCGUUACUCGGCCCCGCGCCGCCGCCGCGCUUCCGGCCGCGGGCCGCGCGCUGAUUGGCCCGGGGGACGCGCGCGCGGCCGGGGCGGGGCCGGCAGAGUGGGGCGGGGCCGGGGCGGAGCCGGCAGGGCGGGGCACGCGGGGAUCCGGACCCGGAGAGCGGCCCGGGAGCAAGAACGGGACCAGCGGGGCAGGACGGGACCGGGACACGGAGCAUCACGGUAUGUGAGGGAGCGGGACAUGCGCGGGCCCGGCGCGGCAAGGCAGCAACCACAGCUCUAG